RNAcentral lists this ribosomal RNA (477 nucleotides) under uncultured bacterium. RNAcentral describes it as "partial 16S ribosomal RNA". It matches the Rfam family "Bacterial small subunit ribosomal RNA", at positions 28 to 507 of the family's 1533-position model. The record is from RNAcentral.
GAUGAACGCUGGCGGCGUGCUUAACACAUGCAAGUCGAACGAACAGGCCCAGCUUUUUGUGCGCUGUCGUGGCGAACGGGCGAGUAACACGCGAGUAACUAGCCCACAUCUCUGGGUUAAGUCACGUCGACAGGGCGGAACACCUACCAGAUACUAUCUUCACCCGCAUGGUUCUGUAGAGAUUGACGGUUUUGUGGUCGGUUUUCGAUGGAUCCGCGGCGCAUUAAGUUGUUGGUAAGGUAACGGCUUACCAAGGCAGCGAUGGGUAGCCGGCCUGAGAGGGGGACCGGCCACACUAGGACUGAGACACGGCCCAGACGCCUACGGGAGGCAGCAGUGGGGAGUAUUGCACAAUGGGCGCAAGCCUGAUGCAGCGACGCCGCGUGAGGGAUGACGGCCUUCGGGUUGUAAACCUCUUUCAGAGGGGAAGAAGCGGUAGUGACGGUACCUGCAGAAGAAGCACCGGCUAACUACGUG